This 253-nucleotide ribosomal RNA is filed under the name uncultured bacterium. RNAcentral's name for it is "partial 16S ribosomal RNA". It matches the Rfam family "Bacterial small subunit ribosomal RNA", at positions 524 to 776 of the family's 1533-position model. The record is from RNAcentral.
UACGGGGGGGGCAAGCGUUGUUCGGAAUUACUGGGCGUAAAGGGCUCGUAGGUGGCCAACUAAGUCAGACGUGAAAUCCCUCAGCUUAACUGGGGAACUGCGUCUGAUACUGGAUGGCUUGAGAUUGGGAGAGGGAUGCGGAAUUCCAGGUGUAGCGGUGAAAUGCGUAGAUAUCUGGAGGAACACCGGUGGCGAAGGCGGCAUCCUGGACCAACACUGACACUGAGGAGCGAAAGCCAGGGGAGCAAACAGG